Molecule: ribosomal RNA, 272 nt
Filed under: Bacillus sp. CM1.3
Lineage: Bacteria; Bacillati; Bacillota; Bacilli; Caryophanales; Bacillaceae
Description: partial 16S ribosomal RNA
Rfam family: Bacterial small subunit ribosomal RNA
Source: RNAcentral
GCGGCGGACGGGUGAGUAACCGUGGGUAACCUGCCUGUAAGACUGGGAUAACUCCGGGAAACCGGGGCUAAUACCGGAUGCUUGAUUGAACCGCAUGGUUCAAUCAUAAAAGGUGGCUUUCAGCUACCACUUGCAGAUGGACCCGCGGCGCAUUAGCUAGUUGGUGAGGUAACGGCUCACCAAGGCGACGAUGCGUAGCCGACCUGAGAGGGUGAUCGGCCACACUGGGACUGAGACACGGCCCAGACUCCUACGGGAGGCAGCAGUGGUCA